ACUUUUCAGCUUUAUCCUAAGGUUACGAACCCGUACAAAUCCAAAGGAAGAAGAGGAUCCUGAAGCAGAGGUUGAAGGUUCCACCAGCUUUGAACCAGUUCACCAAGACCCUUGACAAGAACCUAGGCAGGAAGUCUUGUUUUUAGAUAAUGAGAUUGCCUUUAAUGA
This is a non-coding RNA of Arachis ipaensis, 168 nucleotides long. NCBI's taxonomy places the organism in Eukaryota, Viridiplantae, Streptophyta, Magnoliopsida, Fabales, Fabaceae. The record is from RefSeq and is a predicted model, not a curated record.